Molecule: ribosomal RNA, 496 nt
Filed under: uncultured bacterium
Lineage: Bacteria
Description: partial 16S ribosomal RNA
Rfam family: Bacterial small subunit ribosomal RNA
Source: RNAcentral
AUGAACGCUGGCGGCGUGCCCAAUACAUGCAAGUCUAGCGAACAGACGAGGAUCUUUCUCCUCUGACGUUAGCGGCGGACGGGUGAGUUACCCGUUGGUGACCCACCUAUAAAACUGGGGUCACUUUGGGAAACCGAAUGUAAUACCGGCUUAUAAAUUUAACCGCAUGGUUCAAUGUUUAAAGAAGGCUUUGCUAUCACUCAUAGAUGGUUCCGCGGUGCAUUAGCUAGUUGGUAAGGUAACGGCUUACCAAGGCAACGAUACAUAGCCGACCUGAGAGGGGGUUCGGCCACACUGGAACUGAAACACGGUCCAAACUCCUCGGGGAGGCAGCGGUGGGGAACCUUCCGCAAUGGGCGAAGUCCUGACGGGGCAACGCCGGGUGAGUGAUGAAGGUCUUCGGAUCGUAAAACUUUGUUAUUAGGGAAGAACAAAUGUGUAAGUAACUAUGCACGUCUUGACGGUACCUAAUCAGAAAGCCACGGCUAACUACGUG